This 301-nucleotide ribosomal RNA is filed under the name uncultured bacterium. Its description in RNAcentral is "partial 16S ribosomal RNA". It matches the Rfam family "Bacterial small subunit ribosomal RNA", at positions 509 to 809 of the family's 1533-position model. The record is from RNAcentral.
CAGUCGCCACGGGAAUACGUAGGUGGCAAGCGUUGUCCGGAAUUAUUGGGCGUAAAGGGCUCGCAGGCGGUUUCUUAAGUCUGAUGCGAAAGCCCCCGGCUCAACCGGGGAGGGUCAUUGGAAACUGGGAAACUUGAGUGCAGAAGAGGAGAGUGGAAUUCCACGUGUAGCGGUGAAAUGCGUAGAGAUGUGGAGGAACACCAGUGGCGAAGGCGACUCUCUGGUCUGUAACUGACGCUGAGGAGCGAAAGCGUGGGGAGCGAACAGGAUUAGAUACCCCAGUAGUCCCUGUCUCUUAUAA